GCUGCCAGAACACAGGUGUCGUGAAAACCACCGCUAAACCUAAUCCAAAAUGGGAAAGGAAAAGACUCAUAUCAACAUCGUCGUCAUUGGACACGUAGAUUCGGGCAAGUCUACCACUACUGGCCAUCUGAUCUACAAAUGUGGUGGGAUCGACAAAAGAACUAUUGAAAAAUUUGAGAAGGAGGCUGCUGAGAUGGGAAAGGGCUCCUUCAAGUAUGCUGGGUCUUGGAUAAACUGAAAGCCGAACGUGAACGUGGUAUCACCAUUGAUAUCUCCCUGUGGAAAUUCGAGACCAGCAAGUACUAUGUGACCAUCAUUGAUGCCCCAGGACACAGAGACUUUAUCAAAAAUAUGAUUACAGGCACAUCUCAGGCUGACUGUGCUGUCCUGAUCGUUGCUGCUGGUGUUGGCGAAUUUGAAGCAGGUAUCUCCAAGAAUGGGCAGACCCGUGAGCAUGCCCUUCUGGCUUAUACACUGGGUGUAAAACAGCUUAUUGUUGGUGUUAACAAAAUGGAUUCCACUGAGCCACCCUACAGCCAGAAGAGAUACGAGGAAAUCGUUAAGGAAGUCAGCACCUACAUUAAGAAAAUUGGCUACAACCCUGACACAGUAGCAUUUGUGCCAAUUUCUGGUUGGAAUGGUGACAACAUGCUGGAGCCAAGUGCUAACAUGCCUUGGUUCAAGGGAUGGAAAGUCACCCGUAAAGAUGGCAAUGCCAGUGGAACCACACUGCUUGAAGCUCUGGAUUGCAUUCUGCCACCAACUCGUCCAACUGACAAGCCCUUGCGUCUGCCCCUCCAGGAUGUCUACAAAAUUGGUGGUAUUGGUACGGUCCCUGUGGGUCGAGUGGAGACUGGUGUUCUCAAGCCUGGCAUGGUGGUCACUUUUGCUCCAGUCAACGUUACAACUGAAGUAAAGUCUGUUGAAAUGCACCAUGAAGCUUUGAGUGAGGCUCUUCCUGGGGACAAUGUGGGCUUCAAUGUCAAGAACGUAUCUGUCAAAGAUGUUCGUCGUGGCAAUGUGGCUGGUGAUAGCAAAAAUGACCCACCAAUGGAAGCAGCUGGCUUCACAGCUCAGGUGAUUAUCCUGAACCAUCCAGGCCAAAUCAGUGCCGGCUAUGCACCUGUGCUGGACUGUCACACAGCUCACAUCGCCUGCAAGUUUGCUGAGCUGAAGGAGAAGAUUGACCGUCGUUCUGGAAAGAAGCUGGAAGAUGGUCCCAAGUUCUUGAAAUCUGGUGAUGCUGCCAUCGUUGAUAUGGUUCCUGGCAAGCCCAUGUGUGUUGAAAGCUUCUCUGACUAUCCUCCUCUGGGCCACUUUGCUGUUCGUGACAUGAGACAGACGGUUGCUGUGGGUGUCAUCAAAGCAGUGGACAAGAAGGCAGCUGGAGCUGGCAAGGUCACCAAGUCUUCCCAGAAAGCUCAGAAGGCUAAAUGAAUAUUAUCCCCAAUACCUGCCACCCCAGUCUUAAUCAGUGGUGGAAAAACAGUCUCAGAACUGUUUGUGUCAAUUGGACAUUUAAGUUUAAUAGUAAAAGAAUGGUUAAUGAUAACAAUGCAUCAAAAAACCUUCAGAAGGAAAGGAGAAUGUUUUGUGGAC
RNA transcript from Hyaena hyaena (striped hyena), 1599 nucleotides. It is a transcript of the gene named elongation factor 1-alpha 1-like, with no coding region annotated. The transcript has a single exon. Lineage: Eukaryota; Metazoa; Chordata; Mammalia; Carnivora; Hyaenidae. The record is from RefSeq and is a predicted model, not a curated record.